UACGGAGGAUGCGAGCGUUAUCCGGAUUUAUUGGGUUUAAAGGGUGCGUAGGCGGCUUUUUAAGUCAGCGGUGAAAUUUUGCGGCUCAACCGUAAAAGUGCCUUCGAUACUGGUUUUCUUGAGUGUAGCUGAAGUAGGCGGAAUUUGUGGUGUAGCGGUGAAAUGCUUAGAUAUCACGAGGAACUCCGAUUGCGCAGGCAGCUUACUAAACCAUAACUGACGCUCAGGCACGAAGGCGUGGGGAUCAAACAGGAUUAGAUACCCCUGUAGUCCCU
Molecule: ribosomal RNA, 275 nt
Filed under: uncultured prokaryote
Description: partial 16S ribosomal RNA
Rfam family: Bacterial small subunit ribosomal RNA
Source: RNAcentral